Molecule: ribosomal RNA, 563 nt
Filed under: uncultured bacterium
Lineage: Bacteria
Description: partial 16S ribosomal RNA
Rfam family: Bacterial small subunit ribosomal RNA
Source: RNAcentral
UAGGGAAUCUUCGGCAAUGGGGGCAACCCUGACCGAGCAACGCCGCGUGAGUGAAGAAGGUUUUCGGAUCGUAAAGCUCUGUUGUAAGUCAAGAACGGGUGUGAGAGUGGAAAGUUCACACUGUGACGGUAGCUUACCAGAAAGGGACGGCUAACUACGUGCCAGCAGCCGCGGUAAUACGUAGGUCCCGAGCGUUGUCCGGAUUUAUUGGGCGUAAAGCGAGCGCAGGCGGUUUGAUAAGUCUGAAGUUAAAGGCUGUGGCUCAACCAUAGUUCGCUUUGGAAACUGUCAAACUUGAGUGCAGAAGGGGAGAGUGGAAUUCCAUGUGUAGCGGUGAAAUGCGUAGAUAUAUGGAGGAACACCGGUGGCGAAAGCGGCUCUCUGGUCUGUAACUGACGCUGAGGCUCGAAAGCGUGGGGAGCGAACAGGAUUAGAUACCCUGGUAGUCCACGCCGUAAACGAUGAGUGCUAGGUGUUGGAUCCUUUCCGGGAUUCAGUGCCGCAGCUAACGCAUUAAGCACUCCGCCUGGGGAGUACGACCGCAAGGUUGAAACUCUAAAGUG